AGCCAUGUUGCGGUGAAUACGUUCCCGGGUCUUGUACUCACCGCCCGUCACACCAUGGGAGUUGAUUUCACUCGAAGUGGAAAUACUAAACUAGUUAUCCCCCACAGUGGAAUCAGCGACUGGGGUGAAGUCGUAACAAGGUAACCGUAGGAGAACCUGCGGUUGGAUCACCUCCUUUCUAGA
Molecule: ribosomal RNA, 183 nt
Filed under: Campylobacter upsaliensis
Lineage: Bacteria; Pseudomonadati; Campylobacterota; Epsilonproteobacteria; Campylobacterales; Campylobacteraceae
Description: partial 16S ribosomal RNA
Rfam family: Bacterial small subunit ribosomal RNA
Source: RNAcentral